AGUGAACGCUGGCGGUAGGCCUAACACAUGCAAGUCGAACGGCAGCACAGUAAGAGCUUGCUCUUACGGGUGGCGAGUGGCGGACGGGUGAGGAAUACAUCGGAAUCUACUUUUUCGUGGGGGAUAACGUAGGGAAACUUACGCUAAUACCGCAUACGACCUACGGGUGAAAGCAGGGGAUCUUCGGACCUUGCGCGAUUGAAUUAGCCGAUGUCGGAUUAGCUAGUUGGCGGGGUAAAGGCCCACCAAGGCGACGAUCCGUAGCUGGUCUGAGAGGAUGAUCAGCCACACUGGAACUGAGACACGGUCCAGACUCCUACGGGAGGCAGCAGUGGGGAAUAUUGGACAAUGGGCGCAAGCCUGAUCCAGCCAUAUCGCGUGGGUGAAGAAGGCGUUCGGGUUGUAAAGCCCGUUUGUUGGGAAAGAAAAGCAGCAGGUUAAUACCCCGCUGUUCUGACGGUACCGAAAGAAUAAGCACCGGCUAACUUCGUG
RNAcentral lists this ribosomal RNA (492 nucleotides) under uncultured bacterium. RNAcentral describes it as "partial 16S ribosomal RNA". It matches the Rfam family "Bacterial small subunit ribosomal RNA", at positions 29 to 507 of the family's 1533-position model. The record is from RNAcentral.